This 74-nucleotide transfer RNA is filed under the name Pseudonocardiales bacterium. RNAcentral's name for it is "tRNA-Gly". It matches the Rfam family "tRNA". Rfam says of the family: Transfer RNA (tRNA) molecules are approximately 80 nucleotides in length. The record is from RNAcentral. Lineage: Bacteria; Bacillati; Actinomycetota; Actinomycetes; Pseudonocardiales.
GCGGGUGUAGCUCAAUGGCAGAGUCUCUGCUUCCCAAGCAGAUUGCGCGGGUUCGAUUCCCGUCACCCGCUCCG